AUGCAUGGAAUAAUAAGUCUUCACGUAUGGAGGUUGCAUGGCUGGUUGGUUGACCGAAUUAUAUGGUAGUUGGUGGUGCACGUUGGAAGGUGGUCAGUAGCUUUUACCGAUUCUUUAGGUUAAUAUUCUCACGUUGGUUUAAGUGUAUGGCUAUAUAUAGCCUAGUUGUUUAAUGAAUAUGUACCCUUUUCUUUUAUUAUUGAAUACAAGUCUGCAAGUUUCCUUCCUUCUUUGCAAGUUACAUAUCCCACACAAGUAAUACAUACAUUCGUGAGUUUUUGUUUGAGUGUAUAGCUAGUGUGUUGAGGGGCCUGUAACCAACAUUUGGUAUCAGAGCCUAGGGCUCGUAGGAAGCGGGUUUGAAGAUCGGAGGAAGCCUCUGCCACCGGCGGGUGUGUCGGUCGGUGGAGGGCAGGCGUAAAAAAGGGUCUAGCCCGUCGUUGCGGGGCAAACGCAGCAGGAAAAUGGGCUGUUUCGGGACAGCAGGUGGCUGUUCGGGACUGUGUUGCAGCGUUAGACGGAAGCGUUAAGGUGUUUCGGUAGGCCGUUGUUGUGGUAGACGUACCGGUUAAGACGACGGGGGUGACCGGUGAUAAACACUUGUGUUUCGUGGCUGUUAGCGAUGUUCAAAGGAAGAACGGGGCUGUUCGGUUGUUAGUUGCGGGUUUGCGCGGCUGGUAUACAACCGGUGAUAACAGUAGAUGGUGAGAAUGGUUGCCUUGAUCGGCUUGGUUCGUGAUAAGAGGAGACCGGCGUAGUGCGUGAAAAGCGGGCAGAAUGGAUCCGUCAAAGCAGGUGGCUUUGGAUUCGCCUCGUUUUGCAAGGUGAGAAAACGUUAGAAGCGGGUGGCUUGUUUUCUUUGUCGGUGGAGAGCCUCUUGAACAAAGGUGAUCGGAAAAAGGUAAAGAAUGGAGAAAACACGGUGACAUUAUGGCGUUGGAGUUCAAUCGGGUGGCUUUGGAUGUGACCGGGGAGAGGUCGUUGAUCCGUGAUAAGUCGUGAUGUUAGUGAACGGUUCCAGCGGGAUGCCAUGUUACAUGUUACAAGUGUGGUGGUUUUUAAUUCGGGCUGAACCGAGAAGGCUUUGGACGUGACCGAGGUGAAGGUCGGGUGUCCGGUAGAAGUCGGGAUGGUUCGAGAAGAGAUGGUGAUUCGGGUGUCGUGAACGAGUGGUAUGAACAAACCGAUUAAGGGGGUGAAUGUUGGGUUAAUCGGUUCAGUUUAGGGAUAACGGGUCGACACGUUAUCGGGUCACGGGAUAAUGUGUUAGAUUGUAUUAAUUUGCAAAGUGGAAUGCAUGGAAUAAUAAGUCUUCACGUAUGGAGGUUGCAUGGCUGGUUGUUGAAGACUAAUUCAUAUGGGUUUUAUGUUUAAGGUUUUAUUUAAUAAUAUUAAUUAGAUAAAAUUUGUAAAAGGGUUGACCGAAUUAUAUGGUAGUUGGUGGUGCACGUUGGAAGGUGGUCAGUAGCUUUUACCGAUUCUUUAGGUUAAUAUUCUCACGUUGGUUUAAGUGUAUGGCUAUAUAUAGCCUAGUUGUUUAAUGAAUAUGUACCCUUUUCUUUUAUUAUUGAAUACAAGUCUGCAAGU
RNAcentral lists this long non-coding RNA (1587 nucleotides) under Helianthus annuus (common sunflower). Its description in RNAcentral is "sRNA HanXRQr2_Chr10g0425321". Lineage: Eukaryota; Viridiplantae; Streptophyta; Magnoliopsida; Asterales; Asteraceae. The record is from RNAcentral.